Molecule: unclassified non-coding RNA, 404 nt
Filed under: soil metagenome
Description: partial contains 5.8S ribosomal RNA, internal transcribed spacer 2, and large subunit ribosomal RNA
Rfam family: 5.8S ribosomal RNA (bases 1-122)
Source: RNAcentral
GAUGAAGAACGUAGCAAAAUGCGAUACUUGGUGUGAAUUGCAGAAUCCCGUGAACCAUCGAGUUUUUGAACGCAAGUUGCGCCCGAAGCCUUUUGGCCGAGGGCACGUCUGCCUGGGCGUCACGCAUCGCGUCGCCCCCCACAAUUCUCCGUAAAGGGAACAUGUGUUUUGGGGGCGGAUAUUGGUCUCCCGUGCUCAUGGCGUGGUUGGCCGAAAUAGGAGUCCUUUCGAUGGACGCACGAACUAGUGGUGGUCGUAAAAACCCUCGUCUUUUGUUUCGUGCUGUUGCUCGCAAGGUAAACUCUUUAAAAACCCCAAUGUGUCGUCUCUUGACGACGCUUCGACCGCGACCCCAGGUCAGGCGGGACUACCCGCUGAGGUUAAGCAUAUCAAUAAGCGGAGGA